Molecule: unclassified non-coding RNA, 244 nt
Filed under: uncultured fungus
Lineage: Eukaryota; Fungi
Description: sequence contains ITS1, 5.8S rRNA gene
Rfam family: 5.8S ribosomal RNA (bases 196-244)
Source: RNAcentral
UUUCCGUAGGUGAACCUGCGGAAGGAUCAUUACUGGGACCCAGGUUGGACGCUUCGGCGCCCGCCCCCACCCUUUGCCUAGCCUCGAUUACACAAACCCGUCGGCCUUAGGCGCGCCCGCUUGACAGCGCGGUGCGCCGGCCGGACACCAAACACUGAACAACAUUGCAGCCUGAAGUGAAAAGCAAAUAGUUAAAACUUUCAACAACGGAUCUCUUGGUUCUGGCAUCGAUGAAGAACGCAGC